This 74-nucleotide transfer RNA is filed under the name Solirubrobacterales bacterium. RNAcentral's name for it is "tRNA-Arg". It matches the Rfam family "tRNA". From Rfam's summary of the family: Transfer RNA (tRNA) molecules are approximately 80 nucleotides in length. Lineage: Bacteria; Bacillati; Actinomycetota; Thermoleophilia; Solirubrobacterales. The record is from RNAcentral. RNAcentral also lists the same sequence under 2 other names.
GCCCCCGUAGCUCAGCUGGAUAGAGCGCCGGCCUUCUAAGCCGGAUGUCGGAGGUUCGAGUCCUCCCGGGGGCG